GUGAGGUGAACAUGGCAAAGCACAUGUGCACAUAUUAGGAGACUAUCUCAGAUGAUGAUCCAGUUUAUCAUGGCCCAGGAGAGAGGAGGAAGAAAGAAGUAAAGGCCUACUUUUGGAGCAAUUCAAGGUAAAACUCACAUUUAUUAAGUGUCAUCCAUGAGUCCCUUGGGGAUUAUGCUUUAACUCAUCUAUCCUCACCACAACCCUCCAAAAAGUGAGCUAAUAUUCCCAUUGUUCAGAUGAGACACCUGAGCUUCCAAGAGGCUGAGCAACCUGUCUAUGAUCCCACAGCUAGGAUGUGGCAAAGUUGGGAUACAGACCACCAAAGGUGAGCUAAGGAGAGACCUCCAACUGUAGCAUGGUUCUGAGAUCUGGUCAUCAGCUGCUCUCUGACAUGAACGUGAGAGCUCCUUAAAGACUGGUCCAUCAGCCUCUUGACCAUGGAUUUUCUGAUUUCCUUCAUUUGCCUAGAUCCCAUAAAAAAGAAACCACAUCUAUAUAUUACCUUUGACUGAUUGUCUCUGCCACCCUCACAUCUCAGGGAAUUAGAAUAUUAGAGUAAAAACCAAAAGCCACAUCAAUAAUCCAACAUCUUCUUGUGAGGAAGAUUCCAUGGACUAAAUCAGUAUUAUAUUAACUACCUUUUACACAGUUCUUUGCAUUUGUCAAAGAAGAAGUUAUGCAUAUAUUACCCCAGUUAUGGCAGAUUUUAAAAUUGAUGUGAUUGCACAGACAGAAUUGCCCCUAGAGUCUUGUAAUCUGGCAUUGGGAUGGGAACCUGGAGUGUUAGAAUUAUAGAGCAUCAGUGCCAUCCAAUGGAAUUACUGUAGCAUUAUAAAACCAUGGGUCCUACAUGUGAUGGAAUGCUAGUCCUGGAGAAUGAUAAUGCUUAGGAUUCUCUUCAUGUGAGGUGUCAUACUGGCAUGGACCCUAUUUAGGUGAAUGAUUUUUUGUCUCUGAGUUGGAAGGAGAACUAAUAUUUAUUGAACUUCUGCUUUGGUCCAACUCAGUGCCAGGCAUUUCAUAUUCUUCAUAUAAACUAUAUAGUAAGUAUCCAAUUAAUGAUGAAGAAACUAGAUCAGAGAGGUUCAGAACUGCUCUAGGACAUGUGGAUAUGAUCUGCCAGGGGUUCCUGUAGAAUUCAUCGGUUAGUGAGUAUGGUGAAACUCAGACCUUUGGGUAAGGAGCGUCCAUCAGGAAAGGUGAUGGGCUUGCUGAGCUUUCUGCCAACCAUUGGUACAGGAGGAUAAAUUCGCAGUGACUCCUUAAUGCACAUGGUGGUAUAGGGCAUCUGAUCCAGAUGAUCCCUGAAAUGAAUGAAGCCCAAUCUGAGGGCAGGCAGGGCCCACGCAGACCAGAGCUUACUGUUUAGCUGAGUAGGUAGGAUUCUCCCAUCUCCUGAGCACUCACCAGGUAAUGGAGGCACCAUCUCCUAGGAGGCUCUGAAUCUCCUGGCGACACCUCUGUUGAUGCUCUGGGUGGGAAGCCAGAGCAUAGAGAAUCCAGGAGAUGCCACUGGCUGUGGUGUCAUGACCCCCGAACAUGAAUGUAUCCACUUCAGCACGGAGGUCCUUGUCAGACAAGCUACUUCCAUCCUUCAUCUGGAAAAGGAAGGUGAGAGUGUACUUCUUGCCCCCUCCUCUGCCCUUCUGGGCAAAGCCUCAGGCCCCUCCUACAGACACUUACUUUGGCAAAGAGGAGGAUGUCCAGGAAAUCCAACUUCUUCUUUCUCCUGACCCUCUCAAGAUCUUCCUCAUCCUGCAGAUACGCCUUUCUCAGUUUGAUCACUUGGUCUGUACCAGAACAAUGAUUCCCAGGCACAGUUGAGUGCUCUGGGUGGCC
Pipistrellus kuhlii (Kuhl's pipistrelle) is the source of this 1842-nucleotide long non-coding RNA. RefSeq lists it as uncharacterized. The transcript has 2 exons. NCBI's taxonomy places the organism in Eukaryota, Metazoa, Chordata, Mammalia, Chiroptera, Vespertilionidae. The record is from RefSeq and is a predicted model, not a curated record.